CUGGGCGUAAAGCGUCGCGUAGGCGGUUUUUUAAGUCGGAUGUGAAAUCCCGGGGCUCAACCCCGGAACUGCAUUUGAUACUGCUUGGCUUGAGUAUGGGAGAGGGAAGCGGAAUUCCUGGUGUAGCGGUGAAAUGCGUAGAUAUCAGGAGGAACACCGGUGGCGAAGGCGGCUUCCUGGACCAAUACUGACGCUGAGGCACGAAAGCGUGGGGAGCAAACAGGAUUAGAUACCCUGGUAGUCCACGCCGUAAACGAUGAACACUAGGUGUAGGGGGUAUUGACCCCUGCUGUGCCGAAGUUAACGCAUUAAGUGCCCCGCCUGGGGAGUACGGUCGCAAGAUUAAAACUCAAAGGAUUGGACGG
Molecule: ribosomal RNA, 365 nt
Filed under: uncultured bacterium
Lineage: Bacteria
Description: bacterial SSU rRNA
Rfam family: Bacterial small subunit ribosomal RNA
Source: RNAcentral